Molecule: ribosomal RNA, 497 nt
Filed under: uncultured bacterium
Lineage: Bacteria
Description: partial 16S ribosomal RNA
Rfam family: Bacterial small subunit ribosomal RNA
Source: RNAcentral
GACGAACGCUGGCGGCGUGCCUAAUACAUGCAAGUUGAGCGCUGAAGGUUGGUACUUGUACCAACUGGAUGAGCAGCGAACGGGUGAGUAACGCGUGGGGAAUCUGCCUUUGAGCGGGGGACAACAUUUGGAAACGAAUGCUAAUACCGCAUAAAAACUUUAAACACAAGUUUUAAGUUUGAAAGAUGCAAUUGCAUCACUCAAAGAUGAUCCCGCGUUGUAUUAGCUAGUUGGUGAGGUAAAGGCUCACCAAGGCGAUGAUACAUAGCCGACCUGAGAGGGUGAUCGGCAACAUUGGGACUGAGACACGGCCCAAACUCCUACGGGAGGCAGCAGUAGGGAAUCUUCGGCAAUGGACGAAAGUCUGACCGAGCAACGCCGCGUGAGUGAAGAAGGUUUUCGGAUCGUAAAACUCUGUUGGUAGAGAAGAACGUUGGUGAGAGUGGAAAGCUCAUCAAGUGACGGUAACUACACAGAAAGGGACGGCUAACUACGUG